Paramuricea clavata is the source of this 214-nucleotide non-coding RNA. The record is from the annotation of a GenBank genome assembly. NCBI's taxonomy places the organism in Eukaryota, Metazoa, Cnidaria, Anthozoa, Malacalcyonacea, Plexauridae.
CCAGAAACCAAAAUAUUUUUCCUCAAAAUUAUGGCGACGGGGGAAGCGGGAGAUGUGCCAAAUUUUUUUUCAAACACUAAGUUUACCCCCCCCCCCAGUUGGCACGGCCCUGACGGGAAGCUUGAAGGUAUCGGAAGAUAUACUUGUCUGAAUUUGGGAGAAUGCUAGCUAAAGAAAAAUAACGAAGAAGCAAAGCAUGUGGACACAUUUGUCC